This 486-nucleotide ribosomal RNA is filed under the name uncultured bacterium. Its description in RNAcentral is "partial 16S ribosomal RNA". It matches the Rfam family "Bacterial small subunit ribosomal RNA", at positions 30 to 507 of the family's 1533-position model. The record is from RNAcentral.
AUUGAACGCUGGCGGCAUGCCUUACACAUGCAAGUCGAACGGCAGCACGGGUGCUUGCACCUGGUGGCGAGUGGCGAAGGGGUGAGUAAUACAUCGGAACAUGUCCUGUAGUGGGGGAUAGCCCGGCGAAAGCCGGAUUAAUACCGCAUACGAUCUACGGAUGAAAGCGGGGGACCUUCGGGCCUCGCGCUAUAGGGUUGGCCGAUGGCUGAUUAGCUAGUUGGUGGGGUAAAGGCCUACCAAGGCGACGAUCAGUAGCCGGUCUGAGAGGACGACCAGCCACACUGGGACUGAGACACGGCCCAGACUCCUACGGGAGGCAGCAGUGGGGAAUUUUGGACAAUGGGCGAAAGCCUGAUCCAGCAAUGCCGCGUGUGUGAAGAAGGCCUUCGGGUUGUAAAGCACUUUUGUCCGGAAAGAAAACCUUGGCCCUAAUACGGUCGGGGGAUGACGGUACCGGAAGAAUAAGCCCCGGCUAACUACGUG